AAUUCUUUAACUUCCCCCAUUAUAAGAUUUUGUUGUUGUGAGAUUUUUGCUAUCUCAUCAGACAUAAAAUCCAAGGAUUUCUUUAUCUCCUCAAACUCUUCCUCUGUUAUCGAUCAGCUUUGCUUCGUAUUUCUUUUCGACAUUUCCGUUUAAUCUGAACAAGUUGAUGGUCAGGCAUUGUGUCCAGCUCAGGAGGUGCAGCAGCUGCC
Long non-coding RNA from Poecilia latipinna (sailfin molly), 209 nucleotides. RefSeq lists it as uncharacterized. The record is from RefSeq and is a predicted model, not a curated record. NCBI's taxonomy places the organism in Eukaryota, Metazoa, Chordata, Actinopteri, Cyprinodontiformes, Poeciliidae. The transcript has 3 exons.